AGAGAGCAGACUGCAAACCCUGUAACUGAUCCAUGUAUUAUCUGUUCUUUUAACUGAGUAACAUGCUUUUCAAAAGUGUUUUUCCAUGUUUCAGAGACAGAAAAGGGGAGAAAAAGAAGAAGAAAAGGGAGAGGAAAAGGUAAAAGAAAAGAAGAGAAUGAAUUGCAGCUGAGGAAGUGGAAGAGCGAGAAGCGCUUCCAGAUACCAGACUUAACAGGUGGAUUUUUGGGUUUGCUGAAGAAGAAAAAGAAGGAGAAGGAGAAGGAGAAGAAGAAGAGAAGUGUGAUUAACAAGAAAAAAACUUAUUUGGGGGCUAUGAACACCUUGAAUAUUUAACAGAAUAUCAGCUACUCAUCUGUAACCAUUCACUACAUAGCUAAACUUUUAGUAAUAAUGUAG
This is a long non-coding RNA of Homo sapiens (human), 399 nucleotides long. Lineage: Eukaryota; Metazoa; Chordata; Mammalia; Primates; Hominidae. The record is from Ensembl.